ACGAGUGGCGGACGGGUGAGUAAUGUCUGGGAAACUGCCUGAUGGAGGGGGAUAACUACUGGAAACGGUAGCUAAUACCGCAUAACGUCGCAAGACCAAAGAGGGGGACCUUCGGGCCUCUUGCCAUCGGAUGUGCCCAGAUGGGAUUAGCUUGUUGGUGGGGUAACGGCUCACCAAGGCGACGAUCAGUAGCCGGUCUGAGAGGAUGAACGGCCACAUUGGGACUGAGACACGGCCCAGACUCCUACGGGAGGCAGCAUG
This 261-nucleotide ribosomal RNA is filed under the name uncultured bacterium. Its description in RNAcentral is "partial 16S ribosomal RNA". It matches the Rfam family "Bacterial small subunit ribosomal RNA", at positions 91 to 353 of the family's 1533-position model. The record is from RNAcentral.